GACGAACGCUGGCGGCGUGCUUAACAUAUGCAAGUCGAACGGAAAGGCCCUGCUUUUGUGGGGUGCUCGAGUGGCGAACGGGUGAGUAACACGUGAGUAACCUGCCCUUGACUUUGGGAUAACUUCAGGAAACUGGAGCUAAUACCGGAUAGGAGCUCCUGCUGCAUGGUGGGGGUUGGAAAGUUUCGGCGGUUGGGGAUGGACUCGCGGCUUAUCAGCUUGUUGGUGGGGUAGUGGCUUACCAAGGCUUUGACGGGUAGCCGGCCUGAGAGGGUGACCGGCCACAUUGGGACUGAGAUACGGCCCAGACUCCUACGGGAGGCAGCAGUGGGGAAUAUUGCACAAUGGGCGGAAGCCUGAUGCAGCAACGCCGCGUGCGGGAUGACGGCCUUCGGGUUGUAAACCGCUUUCGCCUGUGACGAAGCGUGAGUGACGGUAAUGGGUAAAGAAGCACCGGCUAACUACGUG
RNAcentral lists this ribosomal RNA (468 nucleotides) under uncultured bacterium. Its description in RNAcentral is "partial 16S ribosomal RNA". It matches the Rfam family "Bacterial small subunit ribosomal RNA", at positions 28 to 507 of the family's 1533-position model. The record is from RNAcentral.